AACGAACGCUGGCGGCAGGCUUAACACAUGCAAGUCGAACGCAUGCCUUCGGGCAUGAGUGGCAGACGGGUGAGUAACGCGUGGGAACCUACCCCUUGGUACGGGAUAGCUCCGGGAAACUGGAGAUAAUACCGUAUGUGUCCUGAGGGACAAAGAUUCAUCGCCAAGGGAUGGGCCCGCGUCGGAUUAGCUAGUUGGUGGGGUAACGGCCUACCAAGGCGACGAUCCGUAGCUGGUCUAAGAGGAUGAUCAGCCACAUUGGGACUGAGACACGGCCCAAACCCCUACGGGAGGAAGCAGGGGGGAAUAUUGGACAAGGGGCGCAAGCCUGAUCCAGCCAGGCCGGGUGGGUGAUGAAGGCCCGGGGGUUGUAAAGCUCUUUCACCGGUGACGAUAAGGACGGAAACCGGAGAAAAAGCCCCGGAUAACUUCGU
Molecule: ribosomal RNA, 434 nt
Filed under: uncultured bacterium
Lineage: Bacteria
Description: partial 16S ribosomal RNA
Rfam family: Bacterial small subunit ribosomal RNA
Source: RNAcentral